Molecule: ribosomal RNA, 252 nt
Filed under: uncultured bacterium
Lineage: Bacteria
Description: partial 16S ribosomal RNA
Rfam family: Bacterial small subunit ribosomal RNA
Source: RNAcentral
UACGUAGGGGGCAAGCGUUGUCCGGAAUUAUUGGGCGUAAAGCGCGCGCAGGCGGUUGAUUAAGUUUGGUGUAUAAUUCCGGGGCUCAACCCCGGGUCGCACUGAAAACUGGUCAACUUGAGUGCAGGAGAGGAAAGUGGAAUUCCACGUGUAGCGGUGAAAUGCGUAGAGAUGUGGAGGAACACCAGUGGCGAAGGCGACUUUCUGGACCGUAACUGACGCUGAGGCGCGAAAGCGUGGGGAGCAAACAGG